Phyllostomus hastatus (greater spear-nosed bat) is the source of this 704-nucleotide long non-coding RNA. RefSeq lists it as uncharacterized. The record is from RefSeq and is a predicted model, not a curated record. NCBI's taxonomy places the organism in Eukaryota, Metazoa, Chordata, Mammalia, Chiroptera, Phyllostomidae. The transcript is spliced from 3 exons.
AGUAAGUUCCGCCCAGACUCCUCCAACACACCCCAGCCUUGGAGCCCCGGAGGUAGACGGGGCUGAGCGCUGGGGACAGCGCUGGGCACCCGGGAAGAACUGUCCGAGAGUAAGGACGCGCGGCAGGGGGCGGUGGUCACGCCGCCGGGCACCAGCGAAUCCGGCCCGGGCACCUAUCAGGAGGGGAAGACGAAGGAAGUGGAGGCCCCCUGAGAAGAAACAACUUGUCUAGAGCCACAGGGGGUGUUGCUGACCCCUUGGACGAAUCUGCACUAUUCCUGCACAUCCCUCCCCUCACCCGGACCCCCAGCCCAGAGGCUGAGGGACCGGGACCAGGUAGCUGGCUUACCUGAGACUGGAGGUGCGACUCGGUACGGGAUCCCUGCACGUGCCUCUGCUGCCAUCUACAGGCCACCUCCAGGACUGCAGGCUCCGGCGCUUCGGUCUCACCCACAGCUCAGACCUUCGAUGGGAGGCACCCAGUGACUUCACUGGAUUGGAGGAAGCGAGGGCUGUACCCAUGCCGUCCAGCCUACACGACAGACACACAAAACAAAGGAACCCUGAGGUCAAUAGCUAUCAUGGCAGAGCCCCCAUCCCAACCCCAAAGAACAACUCCGGGGUCCCGUUCUCACCCUCCAGCUAUGGCCUCCUCUUGCGUGCCUCCCUGAUCCCCUUCCCACAUCCACAUCCACAUGCACAAA